UAUUGGUCAAUGGCCGGAAGGCUGAACCAGCCAAGCCGCGUGAGGGAAGACGGCCCUACGGGUUGUAAACCUCUUUAGCCGGGGAACANGGCGCGGGACGCGUCCCGCCGUGAGCGUACCCGGAGAUGAAGCAUCGGCCAACUCCACGCCAGCAGCCGCGGUACUACGGAGGAUGCGAGCGUUAUCCGGAUUUAUUGGGUUUAAAGGGUGCGUAGGCGGGCUGUUAAGUCAGCGGUAAAAUGUCGGGGCUCAACCCCGGCCUGCCGUUGAAACUGGCGGCCUCGAGUGGGCGAGAAGUAUGCGGAAUGCGUGGUGUAGCGGUGAAAUGCAUAGAUAUCACGCAGAACUCCGAUUGCGAAGGCAGCAUACCGGCGCCCUACUGACGCUGAGGCACGAAAGCGUGGGUAUCGAACAGG
This 416-nucleotide ribosomal RNA is filed under the name uncultured bacterium. RNAcentral's name for it is "bacterial SSU rRNA". It matches the Rfam family "Bacterial small subunit ribosomal RNA", at positions 362 to 776 of the family's 1533-position model. The record is from RNAcentral.